RNAcentral lists this long non-coding RNA (649 nucleotides) under Physcomitrium patens. Its description in RNAcentral is "long non-coding RNA (PPAT_LNC010014)". The record is from RNAcentral. Lineage: Eukaryota; Viridiplantae; Streptophyta; Bryopsida; Funariales; Funariaceae.
GAUGAGGAUAUUCCUGAAAGGUGGAACCAUUUGUGGGGUUUUGUUGGGUGCUGUGCAUUGAGCGGCAUGUCGUCGAUGCUAUCCUCUUCCUCUCUUGGUGUGCCAUAUAUUAGUUUUUUCCUUAAUCUAGUUGAGGUUGUGGUGGUGUCCUCGUGUGGUAGGAGCAUAUUUGUCUGUGAAGAAAGUGGAAGGGUUUUAUUUUUCUGGUUUUGAUUUUUUAGGGACAAUAGAAUUCGUUUGGAUAACGAACCUGGCAAAGUAAGAAGUGCGAUGGGAAUUUUGAUGUCAAACGGAGUCAAUGUCUUGCCUUAUCGUUUUCAGAGCUUGCAGAAUAGGCGCUGGGCUCUUGUCUUCAACUUGUUAUAAAUUAGUCACAAAUGCCUUCGUGGAUGAGUUGUCCUUUUGCUGUUAGUACUGUCACAAGCGCCGCAGGGUUUGAGAGCAGACCCUCGUGGGUUGAGGGUCACUAUGUAGUCGGUGGGGUUAGAGUGUCAAGACUCUGGGGGUGGCCGUCAUAAACAUCUGAAGCAUAUAUCUUUAUCCUGUGUGAGUCGCCAAGGUUGUAGUUGCUGGAUCUCGAUGUCGUUUAUAGUAGAGGAAACGCGGUGUGGUUGGCUGCAUUUAUUGCAAUUCUCCCAUCGGUAAUAUU